AUUACCGCGGCUGCUGGCACGGAGUUAGCCGGUGCUUCUUCUGCGAGUAACGUCAAUUGAUGAGCGUAUUAAGCUCACCACCUUCCUCCUCGCUGAAAGUGCUUUACAACCCGAAGGCCUUCUUCACACACGCGGCAUGGCUGCAUCAGGCUUGCGCCCAUUGUCCAAUAUUCCCCACUGCUGCCUCCCGUAGG
This 194-nucleotide ribosomal RNA is filed under the name uncultured bacterium. RNAcentral's name for it is "partial 16S ribosomal RNA". The record is from RNAcentral.